RNAcentral lists this long non-coding RNA (242 nucleotides) under Dromaius novaehollandiae (emu). RNAcentral's name for it is "lncRNA (ENSDNVG00000004671.1)". Lineage: Eukaryota; Metazoa; Chordata; Aves; Casuariiformes; Dromaiidae. The record is from RNAcentral.
UUUAAGAUGCCUAUGGAAGUAAUCCCAGGCUUGACCRGACUAAUCGAGGACUACAUCAAAAGAUGCGGGUGUCGGAGCAACUUGCUGAGKAUAGCAUCUACUGAUCGAACUAUUGGCACUCCUUGGGAACUGGUGCCACCAGAUAAAGCUCAUUCCUGAGCUCAAGCUUGUUGCCUCCUGCUCAGCAACUGAUAAGAGAGCCAUGAUGCUUACUUAAUUUCCAUUAAAUAACUUGCACAAAU